GAUGAACGCUGGCGGCGUGCCUAAUACAUGCAAGUCGAGCGAACAGACGAGGAGCUUGCUCCUCUGACGUUAGCGGCGGACGGGUGAGUAACACGUGGAUAACCUACCUAUAAGACUGGGAUAACUUCGGGAAACCGGAGCUAAUACCGGAUAAUAUAUUGAACCGCAUGGUUCAAUAGUUAAUGGCGGUUUUGCUGUCACUUAUAGAUGGAUCCGCGCCGGAUUAGCUAGUUGGUAAGGUAACGGCUUACCAAGGCGACGAUGCGUAGCCGACCUGAGAGGGAGAUCAGCCACACUGGAACUGAGACACGGUCCAGACUCCUACGGGAGGCAGCAGUAGGGAAUCUUCCGCAAUGGGCGAAAGCCUGACGGAGCAACGCCGCGUGAGUGAUGAAGGUCUUCGGAUCGUAAAACUCUGUUAUUAGGGAAGAACAAAUGUGUAAGUAAAUAUGCACGUCUUGACGGUACCUAAUCAGAAAGCCACGGCUAACUACGUG
Molecule: ribosomal RNA, 497 nt
Filed under: uncultured bacterium
Lineage: Bacteria
Description: partial 16S ribosomal RNA
Rfam family: Bacterial small subunit ribosomal RNA
Source: RNAcentral